GACGAACGCUGGCGGCGUGCUUAACACAUGCAAGUCGAACGGAGCGAAUGAAAGCUUGCUUUUAUGAGCUUAGUGGCAAACGGGUGAGUAACACGUAGACAACCUGCCGAUAGGAUGGGGACAACAUUCCGAAAGGAAUGCUAAUACCGAAUGGCGUGGAGGGAAGGCAUCUUCCUUUCAUGAAAGAUGGCCUCUAUAUAUAAGCUAUCACCUAUCGAUGGGUCUGCGUCUGAUUAGCUAGUAGGUAAGGUAACGGCUUACCUAGGCGACGAUCAGUAGCCGGUCUGAGAGGAUGAACAGCCACAUUGGGACUGAGACACGGCCCAGACUCCUACGGGAGGCAGCAGUGGGGAAUCUUCCGCAAUGGGCGCAAGCCUGACGGAGCAACGCCGCGUGAGUGAAGAAGGUCUUCGGAUCGUAAAGCUCUGUUGAAGGGGACGAACGUAUAUAGUGCGAAUAUU
This 461-nucleotide ribosomal RNA is filed under the name Selenomonas sp. oral taxon E20. RNAcentral's name for it is "bacterial SSU rRNA". It matches the Rfam family "Bacterial small subunit ribosomal RNA", at positions 28 to 468 of the family's 1533-position model. Lineage: Bacteria; Bacillati; Bacillota; Negativicutes; Selenomonadales; Selenomonadaceae. The record is from RNAcentral.